Arabidopsis thaliana (thale cress) is the source of this 271-nucleotide long non-coding RNA. RefSeq annotates it as other RNA. The transcript has a single exon. NCBI's taxonomy places the organism in Eukaryota, Viridiplantae, Streptophyta, Magnoliopsida, Brassicales, Brassicaceae. The record is from RefSeq.
AGAGAGAGGGGUCCAUGAACGAUUGUAAGUGAUAUUCCAUAGUUGCUUGCUGGUGUACUGAUUUUUGCUGAUUUGGAGAAUAGCUGAUAACUUUUGUUUGAAUUGUUAGGCUUUCCAUCUCACCGUUGAGUCUUUAAAUGGUAGUUCCAUGAAGGUCUCCUCCAUAUUUUAGUCAGAUCGGAUAUUGCAUGAAGCUUCCACGAUCUAGUGAAGUUGCUCUGACAAAGGGAUUUUUCCUUUGUUUUGCUGAUUCAGAGAGGCAAUGAUAACU